RNAcentral lists this ribosomal RNA (1491 nucleotides) under Salmonella enterica. RNAcentral describes it as "bacterial SSU rRNA". It matches the Rfam family "Bacterial small subunit ribosomal RNA". Lineage: Bacteria; Pseudomonadati; Pseudomonadota; Gammaproteobacteria; Enterobacterales; Enterobacteriaceae. The record is from RNAcentral.
UCGAACGGUAACAGGAAGCAGCUUGCUGCUUUGCUGACGAGUGGCGGACGGGUGAGUAAUGUCUGGGAAACUGCCUGAUGGAGGGGGAUAACUACUGGAAACGGUGGCUAAUACCGCAUAACGUCGCAAGACCAAAGAGGGGGACCUUCGGGCCUCUUGCCAUCAGAUGUGCCCAGAUGGGAUUAGCUAGUUGGUGAGGUAACGGCUCACCAAGGCGACGAUCCCUAGCUGGUCUGAGAGGAUGACCAGCCACACUGGAACUGAGACACGGUCCAGACUCCUACGGGAGGCAGCAGUGGGGAAUAUUGCACAAUGGGCGCAAGCCUGAUGCAGCCAUGCCGCGUGUAUGAAGAAGGCCUUCGGGUUGUAAAGUACUUUCAGCGGGGAGGAAGGUGUUGUGGUUAAUAACCGCAGCAAUUGACGUUACCCGCAGAAGAAGCACCGGCUAACUCCGUGCCAGCAGCCGCGGUAAUACGGAGGGUGCAAGCGUUAAUCGGAAUUACUGGGCGUAAAGCGCACGCAGGCGGUCUGUCAAGUCGGAUGUGAAAUCCCCGGGCUCAACCUGGGAACUGCAUUCGAAACUGGCAGGCUUGAGUCUUGUAGAGGGGGGUAGAAUUCCAGGUGUAGCGGUGAAAUGCGUAGAGAUCUGGAGGAAUACCGGUGGCGAAGGCGGCCCCCUGGACAAAGACUGACGCUCAGGUGCGAAAGCGUGGGGAGCAAACAGGAUUAGAUACCCUGGUAGUCCACGCCGUAAACGAUGUCUACUUGGAGGUUGUGCCCUUGAGGCGUGGCUUCCGGAGCUAACGCGUUAAGUAGACCGCCUGGGGAGUACGGCCGCAAGGUUAAAACUCAAAUGAAUUGACGGGGGCCCGCACAAGCGGUGGAGCAUGUGGUUUAAUUCGAUGCAACGCGAAGAACCUUACCUGGUCUUGACAUCCACAGAAGAAUCCAGAGAUGGAUUUGUGCCUUCGGGAACUGUGAGACAGGUGCUGCAUGGCUGUCGUCAGCUCGUGUUGUGAAAUGUUGGGUUAAGUCCCGCAACGAGCGCAACCCUUAUCCUUUGUUGCCAGCGGUCCGGCCGGGAACUCAAAGGAGACUGCCAGUGAUAAACUGGAGGAAGGUGGGGAUGACGUCAAGUCAUCAUGGCCCUUACGACCAGGGCUACACACGUGCUACAAUGGCGCAUACAAAGAGAAGCGACCUCGCGAGAGCAAGCGGACCUCAUAAAGUGCGUCGUAGUCCGGAUUGGAGUCUGCAACUCGACUCCAUGAAGUCGGAAUCGCUAGUAAUCGUGGAUCAGAAUGCCACGGUGAAUACGUUCCCGGGCCUUGUACACACCGCCCGUCACACCAUGGGAGUGGGUUGCAAAAGAAGUAGGUAGCUUAACCUUCGGGAGGGCGCUUACCACUUUGUGAUUCAUGACUGGGGUGAAGUCGUAACAAGGUAACCGUAGGGGAACCUGCGGUUGGAUCACCUCCUUACCUUAAAGAA